AACGGACCAACCAGACUCUCAAGACAGCAAUUGGCAAGUCCCUUGACGGGUACAAGGAACAGUGGAAGAACAACCUGAAGGUAAUUCUCUCUGCACACAAAACCAGCGUCCAGGGCUCCACCGAGUACGGGCAGGAGCCACAGCUGUUGAUUAAGAUCACUGAUACCCUACCUAAUGUGGUUGAAGUUGUCGAACCAGAUCAGAACGCCUUCAAGGACCACCUUCAUGCGUGGACUGAGAAGGAUGUGGAGGUUAGACUGAACAUCGACAAGCGCAGGAGAAAAAGAAGUUGAGCUACCGGAGGAAAAUCAAGAAGGGGACCAAGUGCUUCGACAUCCGGGCAAAUUACUUGGUUUGGAAGAAGGACGAAAGGAAGGCAAGACCUGGGAAACAUCGGUGCGAUUUCGCUCCUAGCUGGGGUCACCAUCCAAUAAGGGUUACCUCGGUGGAAGCCAACAAUCUUCUCCAGUUGGAGCAUUUAAACGGUUCACCACUGAAAGCCCGGACGCCCUACACUUUGGUGAAGCAUAAUAGACAAAUUCACCUCUCCCAAUGACUUUAGGACCAUCGACUGUCCGAGCCCCCAAGGAGGUAUCCCAUCCACCAGAGCUAGUGAGUUCAGAUCAGUCUGAUUCUCUGUGCUCUGAGUGAGAGGGGGACCAGCUUGAGGAUCUAAGGGUUCUGCCCAACAACCAGAUGUGGAUCCACCUGAUUUCCUCCAUUACCAACCACCCUCCAACUUUUCAUUACCUCAUCUACAGCAACUGUUAUUGUCAUGUUCUCAUUAUCUGAUAAGAAUAUUUUCUAGCUGUCAUACUGGGAACUUAAUAGGUGAGAUACACACAUUAACUAAAAACACUAUCACUGCAAACAAUCAGAACAAAGAGAGCAGCAGUGCCUGGUCUUUGCAGUCUGCCUCUUCAAGUCCCCCUUCUGAGACUGGCUGCCUUUUGAGAACAAGUGACAGGCAGAACCUCCCACCCACAUAGCAUCCACCUCUAUAUUCCAAAACACCAGAAUUCAGUAUUUUAG
Molecule: long non-coding RNA, 1032 nt
Filed under: Salmo salar (Atlantic salmon)
Lineage: Eukaryota; Metazoa; Chordata; Actinopteri; Salmoniformes; Salmonidae
Description: lncRNA (ENSSSAG00000102525.1, ENSSSAG00075011910.1)
Source: RNAcentral